RNAcentral lists this ribosomal RNA (465 nucleotides) under Vreelandella stevensii. RNAcentral describes it as "partial 16S ribosomal RNA". It matches the Rfam family "Bacterial small subunit ribosomal RNA", at positions 338 to 795 of the family's 1533-position model. The record is from RNAcentral. Lineage: Bacteria; Pseudomonadati; Pseudomonadota; Gammaproteobacteria; Oceanospirillales; Halomonadaceae.
CCUACGGGGGGCUGCAGUGGGGAAUAUUGGACAAUGGGGGGAACCCUGAUCCAGCCAUGCCGCGUGUGUGAAGAAGGCCCUCGGGUUGUAAAGCACUUUCAGUGAGGAAGAACGCCUGGUGGUUAAUACCCAUCAGGAAAGACAUCACUCACAGAAGAAGCACCGGCUAACUCCGUGCCAGCAGCCGCGGUAAUACGGAGGGUGCGAGCGUUAAUCGGAAUUACUGGGCGUAAAGCGCGCGUAGGUGGCUUGAUAAGCCGGUUGUGAAAGCCCCGGGCUCAACCUGGGAACGGCAUCCGGAACUGUCAAGCUAGAGUGCAGGAGAGGAAGGUAGAAUUCCCGGUGGAGCGGUGAAAUGCGUAGAGAUCGGGAGGAAUACCAGUGGCGAAGGCGGCCUUCUGGACUGACACUGACACUGAGGUGCGAAAGCGUGGGUAGCAAACAGGAUUAGAUACCCUUGUAGUC